AAUAGAUACCCCGGUAGUCCACGCCGUAAACGAUGAGUGCUAAGUGUUAGAGGGUUUCCGCCCUUUAGUGCUGCAGCUAACGCAUUAAGCACUCCGCCUGGGGAGUACGGCCGCAAGGCUGAAACUCAAAGGAAUUGACGGGGGCCCGCACAAGCGGUGGAGCAUGUGGUUUAAUUCGAAGCAACGCGAAGAACCUUACCAGGUCUUGACAUCCUCUGACAACCCUAGAGAUAGGGCUUUCCCCUUCGGGGGACAGAGUGGCAGGUGGUGCAUGGUUGUCGUCAGCUCGUGUCGUGAGAUGUUGGGUUAAGUCCCGCAACGAGCGCAACCCUUGAUCUUAGUUGCCAGCAUUCAGUUGGGCACUCUAAGGUGACUGCCGGUGACAAACCGGAGGAAGGUGGGGAUGACGUCAAAUCAUCAUGCCCCUUAUGACCUGGGCUACACACGUGCUACAAUGGAUGGUACAAAGGGCUGCAAACCUGCGAAGGUAAGCGAAUCCCAUAAAGCCAUUCUCAGUUCGGAUUGCAGG
This 529-nucleotide ribosomal RNA is filed under the name uncultured bacterium. RNAcentral describes it as "bacterial SSU rRNA". It matches the Rfam family "Bacterial small subunit ribosomal RNA", at positions 777 to 1304 of the family's 1533-position model. The record is from RNAcentral.